RNAcentral lists this ribosomal RNA (274 nucleotides) under uncultured bacterium. RNAcentral describes it as "partial 16S ribosomal RNA". It matches the Rfam family "Bacterial small subunit ribosomal RNA", at positions 523 to 796 of the family's 1533-position model. The record is from RNAcentral.
AUACGGAGGGUGCGAGCGUUGUUCGGAAUCACUGGGCGUAAAGGGCGCGCAGGCGGAUUGGUAAGUCAGAUGUGAAAGCCCACGGCUUAACCGUGGAAGUGCAUUUGAAACUGUCAGUCUUGAGUACCAGAGGGGAAAGUGGAAUUCCCGGUGUAGAGGUGAAAUUCGUAGAUAUCGGGAGGAAUACCGGUGGCGAAGGCGACUUUCUGGCUGGAUACUGACGCUGAGGCGCGAAAGCGUGGGGAGCAAACAGGAUUAGAAACCCCAGUAGUCC